RNAcentral lists this ribosomal RNA (429 nucleotides) under Chloroflexota bacterium. Its description in RNAcentral is "Chloroflexi bacterium partial 16S ribosomal RNA". It matches the Rfam family "Bacterial small subunit ribosomal RNA", at positions 355 to 776 of the family's 1533-position model. Lineage: Bacteria; Bacillati; Chloroflexota. The record is from RNAcentral.
UGGGGAAUAUUGCACAAUGGGCGCAAGCCUGAUGCAGCCAUGCCGCGUGUGUGAAGAAGGCCUUCGGGUUGUAAAGCACUUUCAGUCGGGAGGAAGGUGGUAAGGUUAAUAACCUUAUCAAUUGACGUUACCGACAGAAGAAGCACCGGCUAACUCCGUGCCAGCAGCCGCGGUAAUACGGAGGGUGCAAGCGUUAAUCGGAAUUACUGGGCGUAAAGCGCACGCAGGCGGUUGAUUGAGUCAGAUGUGAAAUCCCCGGGCUUAACCCGGGAAUUGCAUCUGAUACUGGUCAGCUAGAGUCUUGUAGAGGGGGGUAGAAUUCCAUGUGUAGCGGUGAAAUGCGUAGAGAUGUGGAGGAAUACCGGUGGCGAAGGCGGCCCCCUGGACAAAGACUGACGCUCAGGUGCGAAAGCGUGGGGAGCAAACAGG